Molecule: ribosomal RNA, 515 nt
Filed under: uncultured bacterium
Lineage: Bacteria
Description: partial 16S ribosomal RNA
Rfam family: Bacterial small subunit ribosomal RNA
Source: RNAcentral
GAUGAACGCUGGCGGCGUGCCUAAUACAUGCAAGUCGAGCGAAUGGAUUAAGAGCUUGCUCUUAUGAAGUUAGCGGCGGACGGGUGAGUAACACGUGGGUAACCUGCCCAUAAGACUGGGAUAACUCCGGGAAACCGGGGCUAAUACCGGAUAACAUUUUGAACCGCAUGGUUCGAAAUUGAAAGGCGGCUUCGGCCGUCACUUAUGGAUGGACCCGCGUCGCAUUAGCUAGUUGGUGAGGUAACGGCUCACCAAGGCAACGAUGCGUAGCCGACCGGAGAGGGUGAUCGGCCACACUGGGACUGAGACACGGCCCAGACUCCUACGGGAGGCAACAGUAGGGAAUCUUCCGCAAUGGACGAAAGUCUGACGGAGCAACGCCGCGUGAGUGAUGAAGGCUUUCGGGUCGUAAAACUCUGUUGUUAGGGGAGAACAAGUGCUAGUUGAAUAAGCUGGCACCUUGACGGUACCUAACCAGAAAGCCAUGGCUAACUACGUGCCAGCAGCCGCGGUAA